CAAAUUUUCGUAUGUCGUCUUGAUUUUUUGAGUGUUAAAUUCAACCAAAUUUAUUUUUGAUAUUUGUUAAUGAGGCAAAAUGUAAACAAAAGCUAAUAAAGGCUUCUUAAGUUGAUUCCCUGAAGACGGUACCUUGACACCGCAUGAUGUUAGCGUCUUCACAAUAACCCAAUCAAUUCAACUUGAACACAGAAGAUUGAUAUUUAAAUUACAUAAAAUUAUAAACAAUAUUCAUUCAAUUUUGUACCUAAUUGGCAGGGCGCAACCAAGGUGAUAUUGUUAACACUAAGAAAAUUCAGACAACAAUUUGUGAAAAGACGGUACCAAAACGGAAUUGUGGUUUGCGUCUGAUAAGCUUCUCAAAAGUAUAAUACCACAAAAUCACCAACCUAGGACGGUACCAGCCCUUUAAUGCAGUAUUGAGGCGGUAGAUGGCGUCUUAUUGCAUUUGCAUUUUUGAUAAUUGAAAUAAUUUUGUAUAAACAAAUAAAAUUUGCUAUGAUUAUAUAUAUAUA
Drosophila innubila is the source of this 515-nucleotide long non-coding RNA. RefSeq lists it as uncharacterized. NCBI's taxonomy places the organism in Eukaryota, Metazoa, Arthropoda, Insecta, Diptera, Drosophilidae. The record is from RefSeq and is a predicted model, not a curated record. The transcript has 5 exons.